AGUCACUGACAUUAGAUACCCCCGUAGUCCAGGGUGUAAACGCUGCAGACUUGGUGUUGGAGGCCCUUUGGGGGCAUUCAGUGCCGGAGAGAAGUUGUUAAGUCUGCUACUUGGGAGUACGUCCGCAAGGAUGAAACUUAAGGAAUUGGCGGGGAGCACCGCAACGGGAGGAGCGUGCGGUUUAAUUGGAUUCAACACCGUAAAACUCACCAGGGAAGACUGUUACAUGAAGGCCGAGAUGAAGACUCUGCUAGAUUUUCAG
Molecule: ribosomal RNA, 262 nt
Filed under: uncultured archaeon
Lineage: Archaea
Description: partial 16S ribosomal RNA
Rfam family: Archaeal small subunit ribosomal RNA
Source: RNAcentral